AGGAGAAAGAUUUGCGGCUGAAGGAGUUGUACUAGCGAAGUCGCUCCUCAGCGUGAGGACUGGC
Molecule: small RNA, 64 nt
Filed under: Sinorhizobium meliloti 2011
Lineage: Bacteria; Pseudomonadati; Pseudomonadota; Alphaproteobacteria; Hyphomicrobiales; Rhizobiaceae
Description: putative ncRNA
Source: RNAcentral